RNAcentral lists this ribosomal RNA (169 nucleotides) under uncultured Sphingomonas sp. RNAcentral describes it as "partial 16S ribosomal RNA". It matches the Rfam family "Bacterial small subunit ribosomal RNA", at positions 337 to 523 of the family's 1533-position model. Lineage: Bacteria; Pseudomonadati; Pseudomonadota; Alphaproteobacteria; Sphingomonadales; Sphingomonadaceae. The record is from RNAcentral.
UCCUACGGGAGGCAGCAGUGGGGAAUAUUGGACAAUGGGCGAAAGCCUGAUCCAGCAAUGCCGCGUGAGUGAUGAAGGCCUUAGGGUUGUAAAGCUCUUUUACCCGGGAUGAUAAUGACAGUACCGGGAGAAUAAGCUCCGGCUAACUCCGUGCCAGCAGCCGCGGAAU